GACGAACGCUGGCGGCGUGCUUAACACAUGCAAGUCGAACGAAAAUACCAAGCUUGCUUGGUUGAUUAGUGGCGAACGGGUGAGUAACACGUGAGUAACCUGCCCCUUACUUUCCUGGAUAACUGCUCGAAAGGGUAGCUAAUACGGGAUAUUCUGACCAGCCUGCAUGGGUUGGUUUGGAAAGGUUGUUUUUCUGGUAAGGGAUGGGCUCGCGGCCUAUCAGCUUGUUGGUGGGGUGAUGGCCUACCAAGGCUUUGACGGGUAGCCGGCCUGAGGGGGUGAACGGCAACAUGGGAACGAGGUAAGGGCCAGACUCCUAAGGGAGGGAGCAAGGGGGAAAAAUUGAAAAUGGGGGGAAGGCCGAAGGAGCGAAGGCGGGGGAGGGAUGAAGGCCUUCGGGUUGUAAACCUCUUUCGUCAGGGAACAAGGCACUGCUUUUUUGGUGGUGUUGAGGGUACCUGGAUAAGAAGCGCCGGCUAACUACGUG
This 487-nucleotide ribosomal RNA is filed under the name uncultured bacterium. RNAcentral describes it as "partial 16S ribosomal RNA". It matches the Rfam family "Bacterial small subunit ribosomal RNA", at positions 28 to 507 of the family's 1533-position model. The record is from RNAcentral.